Molecule: ribosomal RNA, 464 nt
Filed under: uncultured bacterium
Lineage: Bacteria
Description: partial 16S ribosomal RNA
Rfam family: Bacterial small subunit ribosomal RNA
Source: RNAcentral
ACGAACGCUGGCGGCGUGCUUAACACAUGCAAGUCGAACGGAAAGGCCCUGCUUGCAGGGUACUCGAGUGGCGAACGGGUGCGUAACACGUGGGUGAUCUGCCCUGCACUUCGGGAUAAGCCUGGGAAACUGGGUCUAAUACCGGAUAGGAGCCAUUUUUAGUGUGAUGGUUGGAAAGUUUUUUCGGUGUAGGGUGAGCUCGCGGCCUAUCAGCUUGUUGGUGGGGUAAUGGCCUACCAAGGCGGCGACGGGUAGCCGGCCUGAGAGGGUGGACGGCCACAUUGGGACUGAGAUACGGCCCAGACUCCUACGGGCGGCAGCAGUGGGGAAUAUUGCACAAUGGGCGCAAGCCUGAUGCAGCGACGCCGCGUGGGGGAUGACGGCCUUCGGGUUGUAAACUCCUUUCGCUAGGGACGAAGCUUUUUGUGACGGUACCUAGAUAAGAAGCACCGGCUAACUACGUG